CCGUCAGCUCUAUUUGAAGCCUGUGGACUGAAAGAGAAGAGCUGGGAUUGCUAAGGGAAAACUGGCUGCUGUUGCCACUGAAAACAAUGAACGGGUGCCGGGCUGCUGGGUCAUAGAUGGCCACUAUGCAACCACCGAUUCCGAAUCUGAGCCAACCAGCAAGUAAUUUGCCCUUCUGUCCUCAGCAUCCCUAUUCUUCAAGCUGUUUUCCUGCCCUUCUCAAAAACCGACUCUCCAGCCAUUCUGGAAAGCCUGCGGGCUGGCCACCCGCAACUUCGAGCUGGAAUUCAGUAUUGGAGGGUGAACUGGAGCCAGGGCCCACCUUCUAGUGGGUCGCUUAUUGACACAUGCUGAGCAGUACCCACCCAGUGGGGAGUCUCUGCUGCACAGUGAGGCGUUCCCAUGGCAACCUCCUGGUGACACAAAGCAGCUCUUCCUCCCAGAAUGGGUAGCCUUCUUCCUCGUCUCCUGGAGAAGCCACAGCAGUGGUGCACCAGAGCUGUCAGCACCCUGGACAGAAGACUACAGUUUGGCUAGCAGCCCCCUCUCUUAACUCACCUAGUCCUCAGGCUGCCUCUGGAGGAUGCAGCUGGAGGAUUCAGACAUACAGUCAUCCCUCAAUAUCCGUGGGGAUUGGUUCAAGAACCCCAGUGGAUACCAAAAUCUGCAGAGCUCAAGUUCCUUAUAUAAAAGGGCGCUGUGUAGUCCAUCCUCUCUAUGGAUCCAACCCAUCCAUGGAUCCAACCCAUUGGAUUGGUAAUUGCUUGAAUCCAAGGAUGUGGAACCUGUGGAUACAGAGAGCCUCCAAUAUCCAGAAAUGCACCAAGUGUGGCUGGAGACACAGCAAUGGAGAAGACGGCGUCCUGCCCUCAGGGACUAGAAUUCUAGCUGUCACCUA
Long non-coding RNA from Bubalus bubalis (water buffalo), 898 nucleotides. RefSeq lists it as uncharacterized. The record is from RefSeq and is a predicted model, not a curated record. NCBI's taxonomy places the organism in Eukaryota, Metazoa, Chordata, Mammalia, Artiodactyla, Bovidae. The transcript is spliced from 3 exons.